GAUGAAGAACGUAGCGAAAUGCGAUAAGUAAUGUGAAUUGCAGAAUUCAGUGAAUCAUCGAAUCUUUGAACGCACAUUGCGCCCCCUGGUAUUCCGGGGGGCAUGCCUGUCCGAGCGUCAUUUCAACCCUCAGGGCCCGUUCGCGGGAACUGGUGUUGGGGAUCGGCCUCCCCCCGGAGGCCGGCCCCGAAAUGCAGUGGCGGCUCUACCGCGAUCUCCUCUGUGUAGUAGCGAUACCUCGCAGCUGGAUAGUGGUGGUGCCACGCCGUAAAAUCCCAACUUUACCAAGGUUGACCUCGGAUCAGGUAGGAAUACCCGCUGAACUUAAGCAUAUCAAUAAGCGGAGGA
This 348-nucleotide unclassified non-coding RNA is filed under the name soil metagenome. RNAcentral describes it as "partial contains 5.8S ribosomal RNA, internal transcribed spacer 2, and large subunit ribosomal RNA". The stretch from base 1 to 120 matches the Rfam family "5.8S ribosomal RNA", at positions 35 to 154 of the family's 154-position model. The record is from RNAcentral.